AGUUUGAUCCUGGCUCAGAAUCAACGCUGGCGGCGUGCCUCAGACAUGCAAGUCGAACGAUUAAAGCUCUCUUCGGAGAGUGCAUAGAGUGGCGCACGGGUGAGUAACACGUAAGUAAUCUACCCUCGAGUGGGGAAUAACAACCGGAAACGGUUGCUAAUACCGCAUAAUGCAGCGGCACCGCAAGGUGACAGUUGUUAAAGAUUUAUCGCUUGAGGAGGAGCUUGCGGCAGAUUAGCUAGUUGGUAAGGUAAUGGCUUACCAAGGCUACGAUCUGUAACCGGUCUAAGAGGACGGUCGGUCACACUGACACUGAAUAACGGGUCAGACUCCUACGGGAGGCAGCAGUCGGGAAUUUUGGGCAAUGGGCGAAAGCCUGACCCAGCAACGCCGCGUGAAGGAUGAAGUAUUUCGGUAUGUAAACUUCGAAAGAAUAGGAAGAAUAAAUGACGGUACUAUUUAUAAGGUCCGGCUAACUACGUGCCAGCAGCCGCGGUAAUACGUAGGGACCAAGCGUUGUUCGGAUUUACUGGGCGUAAAGGGCGCGUAGGCGGCGUGGUAAGUCACUUGUGAAAUCUCUGAGCUUAACUCAGAACGGCCAAGUGAUACUGCUGUGCUAGAGUGCAGAAGGGGCAAUCGGAAUUCUUGG
RNAcentral lists this ribosomal RNA (649 nucleotides) under uncultured bacterium. RNAcentral's name for it is "bacterial SSU rRNA". It matches the Rfam family "Bacterial small subunit ribosomal RNA", at positions 10 to 673 of the family's 1533-position model. The record is from RNAcentral.